GAUUUUGGGGCUGGAUUUGGAUCCAGGAUUUGGGGAUUUUGGGGGGAUUUGGGAUCCUGGAUGGAUUUUUGGGACCCUGGACAGAAUUUGGGUGCAGAUUUUGGGAUCCUGGCUGGAUUUUGGGGUGCGUUUGAGGGGAUUUGGGGCUGGAUUUGGGAUCUUUGAUGAAUUUUGGGGAUCCUGGGCUGCAUUUGGGAGAUCCUGAAAAGAUUUUGGGAUUCUGGGCUGGAUUUGGGGACCCUGGGCUGCAUUUUGGGCACAUUUCAGAGGAUUUGGGGAUCCUGGGCUGCAUUUUGGGCACAUUUCAGGGGGUUUGGGGACCCUGGGCUGCAUUUUGGGCACAUUUCAGGGGAUUUGGGGAUCCUGGGCUGCAUUUUGGGCACAUUUCAGGGGAUUUGGGGACCCUGAGCUGUGUUUUGGGCACAUUUCAGGGGAUUUGGGGCUGCAUUUUGGGAUCCUGGAUGGAUUUUGAACACAUUUCAGGGGUUGGGGUCUCACCCAGCUGCGAGUGGGAGAAGUCCACGGACCAGCCCACCCGGAGCAGCGGCACCUCGGAGCUGCCCUCCUUCCCCGGCAGGUUCUGGGACACCUGAGGGCAAAUUUGGGCAUUUGGGACCCAAAAAAUCCG
This 628-nucleotide long non-coding RNA is filed under the name Zonotrichia albicollis (white-throated sparrow). Its description in RNAcentral is "lncRNA (ENSZALG00000005363.1)". Lineage: Eukaryota; Metazoa; Chordata; Aves; Passeriformes; Passerellidae. The record is from RNAcentral.